Chelonia mydas (Green sea turtle) is the source of this 751-nucleotide long non-coding RNA. RefSeq lists it as uncharacterized. Lineage: Eukaryota; Metazoa; Chordata; Testudines; Cheloniidae. The transcript has 2 exons. The record is from RefSeq and is a predicted model, not a curated record.
GAAGGACCUAGCUGCCUGGGACCUGAGGGUGCAGGCAACUGAGCAGGGCUGGGGAAAGGGAAAGGCACCAGCUAGAAGAAAGAAAGGGGAAGACACUGAGAGGAGAUCUCCAACUGGGAACAGGGUCUUUCCCACCUUCAAUAUCAUAAGGAUCUUCGUGGGCAGUUAGGACUCCAGCACCCUUGCCAAAGAUACCUAUAGAAGAUAGCACUAUGUAGGCACUAGAUUCCAGUGUCCUAUAUAUAGGACAAUCACCUGCCUCAGUUCAUAUAUAAAUCAAGCAUUGUAAAAUAAACUCCAAGGAGGCCCCAUUUACAUGUGAAAAUCAAUAGGAAAAAACAGGUCAAUGUGGGGACGUGAAACACACGGCAAUAUGGAAAGACCAUGGGAAGACCUUGGGGCUUGCAUGCCAGGAAGGAAACGACAGGGAGUAAUCCUGACUCUGGGGACAAAAACAAUGGAUAUUGGGGUAUAAGAGAAAGGCACAAGGACCCCUCUUUACUCUGCACUUGAGGGGGUAACCAGGCAUUGCAGUUAUACCCAUGAAAAUAGGAUUUUGAAUAACCCUAGCUGAAAUGCUGCAAGAAACGGUUUAGCUUUAGACAAAGUUAGCCGGUUAAAAUUAAGUCUUAGUCUAGUAGAAGCCUGAUAUACUUGUGUUUUAUUUGUAGCCUGUUGUUCUUAUUACUCUUGGUCGCUAUCUCUUAAAUCUUUCCCUUUCUAAAUAAAUAUAUAUUUGUUUUUACUAUAA